Molecule: small nucleolar RNA, 129 nt
Organism: Phyllostomus hastatus (greater spear-nosed bat)
Lineage: Eukaryota; Metazoa; Chordata; Mammalia; Chiroptera; Phyllostomidae
Product: small nucleolar RNA SNORA17
Exons: 1
Source: RefSeq, a predicted model, not a curated record
ACUGCCCCUAGAGGCGUUGCAGAUGUGGCUGCCGUGUCACAUUUGUGUCGUUAGGUGGCAGAGAGCAGAGAGGCCUGUCUACGUCCAGCGUUCUGGCGUGAGCGCCCGGAUGAUUGAUGGUCUGACACU